Molecule: long non-coding RNA, 1508 nt
Organism: Homarus americanus (American lobster)
Lineage: Eukaryota; Metazoa; Arthropoda; Malacostraca; Decapoda; Nephropidae
Exons: 3
Source: RefSeq, a predicted model, not a curated record
CUGAAAUAGUGUGUCACGGGGGUUGGUCACUCUGUCUGCUGCUGAGCCGUGAAAUUAUUGUAAACAAAGAUCGUCAUCCCCGACUUCCUAGCCCCGACUUCCUGAGAAUUAUCGUUGUAAUUAAAGAAUCUUGUGAGGCUGGUAUCCCAGAGUUGGUGAGGGAAGGAACGAGGGGAAUUUGGAGAACCUUUAUCUGUGACCUUGUUGCCCUAAGAAUGGUCACCAUGAGGCCCAUCUGUGUUUGGUGGUGUGACCUGAGCCUGUCGCAAGGAUUUGUCCACCAGGCACAUUAGACAACACAUUAUGCUUCCAAUAUCCUCCGAAGCGGUAGUACUUCCUUGUUUGGUAGCUGCCUACUACCAUCAUCAGACUUAUUUUUUACUUCCAUUUACUGUAUUUUGUCAUUCUAUUUCCUCUUGUUUUCUUAAAUUUGGUGGGGUUUUUUGUGUGUAUAUAAGAACUUAGGCUAUGAUAUAGUGGGAUUUUAAACUUUGUUCUGUCAGUAAGGUAUGAACAUAGGGUAUGUGUUUUGACCCAAGAAUGUCCAUACGUAACCCGGGGACUGCCUGUAUGUUGUUUUAUUUUAUUUUAAUCAAUAAAGUGCAUUCAGUUUAAUGGAGGCUUAUUAAUGUUACAUAAUAUAAGGUAUUAUGCAAGUGUAUACAGGAGGUACCCAGGUUACAUACGUCUGAUUUAGGAACAUCCGCCGAUACAAACAAGAUCCCAUGAAGUUAAGCUUUAAAUUUACAAUAUUUUAUUUACCUGAUGUUUUAUGCUUUUGUUUUUUGUUUUUACUGUACAGGCAUUCCCCGACUUAGGACAGGGAUACGUUCUUGGAACCUGAUCGUAAGUCGAGUUGUUCGUAAGUCAGAACAGUGUUAAUUCCGUAGUUUAAGUUAUGUUAAGGCACAACCUUACCCAUACGAAACAACAGUAAUAUUCCCUACAUAACAAAUAAUGUAAAUACUGUAAAUAAAUUGAUGUUAAACAAUAUAGAAUAAGGAAAAUGUAGCUAUUGGGAUCCUGCUCGUAAGUGUGGGUGUUCGUAAGUCGGACGGUCGUAACUCGAGGAUUACUUGUACAGUAUUUUGUCAUUCUUUUUCAUCUUUCCUCUUAAAUUAAGUGAUUUUAGGAGUAUAUAAGGACUUAGGCUAUGAUAUAGUGCGAAUUUAAACAUUGUUCUGUAAGUACGGUAUGCACAUAGGGUAUGUUUUGACUUAUGAACAUCCGUAGGGACAUAACUCAUACUUAACCCAGGACUGCCCGUAUGUACUUCUGCAUUUUUUAUGUUAAAUUAGUUUAGUUCAUUAAUAAUGUACAUGUACCUGUAUUGUACAGUACUGUACGUGUAAUUUUAUAGUGUAAAAUACUAUUUAUGCAUGUGAUGAUUUUUUUUCAGAAGUGUUGCAUAAAAGUGUUAUGCUGAAAGAAUAAAACACUUAUGGUGUUAUGUUUGUACAGUACAUUGUCUUAAGUUUAGCUUAAAUAAUAAUUUGUAUUCAUUUUAA